Rhodamnia argentea is the source of this 153-nucleotide long non-coding RNA. RefSeq lists it as uncharacterized. Lineage: Eukaryota; Viridiplantae; Streptophyta; Magnoliopsida; Myrtales; Myrtaceae. The transcript has 3 exons. The record is from RefSeq and is a predicted model, not a curated record.
GUCACUGUUGGGUUUAUUACUUUAGAAUAUUAGCAAGUUGGGCUUAUAUAUGUAAUUGUACUAGGCUUAACCCUAAGCCUAUAAGUACUCCUUGUUUAUCUCAGAAAUAAAGUAAUUGCUUUUUUAUCAACAACAAGUAUUAUUGAGUUGGUG